AGAAUCAACGCUGGCGGCGUGCCUAACACAUGCAAGUCGAACGAGAAAGGGUAGCAAUACCUGAGUAAAGUGGCGCACGGGUGAGUAACACGUGACUAACCUACCCUGGAGUGGGGGAUAACUGAGGGAAACCUUAGCUAAUACCGCAUAAUACCUACGGGUCAAAGGAGCAAUUCGCUUCAGGAGGGGGUCGCGGCCGAUUAGUUAGUUGGCGGGGUAAUGGCCCACCAAGACAGUGAUCGGUAUCCGGCCUGAGAGGGCGCACGGACACACUGGAACUGAAACACGGUCCAGACUCCUACGGGAGGCAGCAGUGGGGAAUUUUGCGCAAUGGGGGAAACCCUGACGCAGCAACGCCGCGUGGAGGAUGAAGUACUUCGGUACGUAAACUCCUUUCGAUCGGGACGAUAAUGACGGUACCGGAAGAAGAAGCCCCGGCUAACUUCGUGCCAGCAGCCGCGGUAAUACGAGGGGGGCAAGCGUUGUUCGGAAUUAUUGGGCGUAAAGGGUGCGUAGGCGGUUUGGUAAGUCUCUUGUGAAAUCUAUGGGCUCAACUCAUAGACUGCAAGGGAAACUGCCGGGCUUGAGUAUGGGAGAGGUGAGUGGAAUUCCUGGUGUAGCGGUGAAAUGCGUAGAUAUCAGGAGGAACACCUGUGGCGAAAGCGGCUCACUGGACCAUAACUGACGCUGAUGCACGAAAGCUAGGGGAGCAAACAGGAUUAGAUACCCUUGGUAGUCCUAGCCCUAAACGAUGAUUGCUUGGUGGUGACGGGUACCCAAUCCCGGCCGUGCCGUAGCUAACGCGUUAAGCAAUCCGCCUGGGGGAGUACGGUCGCAAGGCUGAA
This 845-nucleotide ribosomal RNA is filed under the name uncultured bacterium. Its description in RNAcentral is "bacterial SSU rRNA". It matches the Rfam family "Bacterial small subunit ribosomal RNA", at positions 26 to 898 of the family's 1533-position model. The record is from RNAcentral.